AGAAAGAGAGAAAGAGAGACGGAAGAAAGAAGUGGAUAAUCGAUCGGAGUGCGCGAGUGUGAUAGGAAUGUGAAAUUUUUCUCUUUUUCUUUUUUACUACGUGUGCAAUUUCGUCCUGAUUCAGUUUUUUCUCUUUCUGUGGAUAUAAUUAUCAAAGAUUAUUAUCUUCCAAGUGUGCAUCUUCGUAGACGAAGAGAAACCGAAUUUCUUUUGAAAAGAUUACUACAAGAAAGGUGUGUGCGUGUGUGGAUUAUUACGGAAGAGAGAGGGAAACAUAAGUUUCGGAAUAUACCGCUACGUAAAGGAAAGAAGCAUAUUCGUGAUCAGCCAAGAUCAGUCACGACGACGUUACGAAGAACAACGUUGUCAUCAAUACCGCAUCAAAGUCAGCAGGAGACUUAACGAAUAUAAUAUUUUCGCACUGUUGGCAAGACGGCCGAUCGUGCGGUAGUACCACUCUCGACUAUCCCGUGGUCGCUACGAGCGAGAACAGCCCGAAGAUUUUUCCACCGAGGUCCAAAAUGCACAUCGAGGUGCAGGUGGCGCUCAAUUUCGUGAUAUCGUAUCUCUAUAAUAAGUUACCACGUAGGCGGGUCAAUAUCUUCGGCGAGGAGCUCGAAAAGGCUUUGAAGGAUAAGUUCAAAGGUCACUGGUAUCCGGAGAAGCCAUUCAAGGGUUCUGCCUUUAGAUGCCUGAAAACCGGCGAUCCCGUGGAUCCUGUCCUAGAACGGGCCGCGAAAGAAAGCGGUGUACCGAUUCAAGAUAUCCUGGAGAAUUUACCGGCCGAGUUAGCCGUUUGGGUGGACCCUGGUGAGGUCAGCUAUCGAAUAGGCGAAAUGAACGCCGUAAAGAUCCUCUACUCUGAAACUGGAGAUCCCCACGAUGAAAGUUCGGCCGAUCGAGAAGUUACCAAGACAUUCAAUCCAGAGGCUCAAUGCUUCAGACCGAUCGAAGCCGUCGGUACGUCCUUGGGUGGUCUCAGUUUAAGCCCCAAAUCCACUUCGCCCUUUCCGAAUUCUUUAGCCAGUAGCAGCAGCAGCAGCAAUGGUUCCUCCAACAAUCAGCAGAACAAUCACGGUUCGGGUUCUUCCUCGGCACCCUCACCUACGCCGAUCGGUAACUCAUUCAAGGGUUCGCCCAGUCCCGUACCAAACUUCAUACCGCGUACCACAGCACCGCUCACCUUCACGACCGCCACCUUUGCUCAAACCAAAUUCGGCAGCACCAAAUUGAAGACAAGCAGCAAACGAGCAAACAGGAUGUCGCCUACCGAGUUUUCGAAUUAUAUAAAGCAGCGUGCGAUGCAACAACAAAUUCAUCAUCAUCAUCAUCAUCAUCAGCAGCACCAACAGCAGCAACAACAGCAGCAACAACAACAACAACAGCAACAGGCGCAACAGGCACAGCAACAGCAGGGUCAACAGCAAGGCAGCACCGGACUACCGGUGUCACAGAAUUCACCGAGCAAUCGCAGCCUAUCGCCGGGUAGCAUAGUCGGCACUGGUGGAACUGCGACUCAACAGCACACGGAUCCAAGUGCAUAUUUCUUUCAGCACGGUCCAACGGCGGCUGCUGCUGCCGCAUAUCAUCCUCAAUUUUCUCAUCGCAACAUCUUCGAUUCAUCGAGCCAUGGUGGUUACCUUCCAAACGACCUUUACGCCGGUGCUGCUAAGUUUCCGUCGUCUUACCUAGACCCCGGUACGAUCGCCGGGCAUCAGUUUUACGGUGGUAGCGUGAACGGUACUGGCGGUAGCAACGGCACAAGCAGCAACGGCAUCGUUGCAGCUGGCAACGGUGGUAAUGCACAAAACGCCACGAAUCUUGGACCUGUUGGCUCAGCAACAACACCCAGUGCUGCCAGCGUAAAUGCAGCAACGGCCCAACAACAGCCCGACAAAAAUGCUCUCGUCGAGGGCUUGAAUAAUUUUGGACUCGGCUCGGUGGCACCCUAUCCUGCCAGCCAAUAUCAGCAUCUCCUCGUAGCCAAUUAAUAUCCUGCGCGUUUACAUACUGCUCGGCAAGUUGCCACGCGCCUAACAAUACGCUCCGCAACGCGACGCUCCUCCUCAACUUCCCCAUCGCCAGGACGACUUUCAACAAGGAACAGAUAUACACACAUGUCACGAAGCAAAGAGAUGAUACACGCAUAAAGCUACACACAAGGACACACAACUACCUCGAAAACGAAGCUUACCGAGAGCUGAGCAUCAUGAUCCAUGAAUCCCAUGAUUACGUAUGCGUGUGCACAAACAUGUUCCAACGUCGCACGCGAUAUACACGGAAGAUGGAGCGACGAGAUGCUAUUCUUUGGAUACGUUUUAGAAGAAGAAGAAGAAGAAAAAGAAGAAAACAGCGAUAACUGACGGUCGACAGCUAAACGAACGUUCGAGGAUAAUGGUCCGAUGGUGAACACACAUAUACGUAAAAAUACAUACAUGCAUACUUACUUACGGCACGUAUUACACGUACACACACAUACAUAUUACCAAGACGUAAUAAUUUAUUUUUUCACUGGUAUAGUUGAAGAAUUGAUAAUGAAUAUAACUGUAGAGCCUAUGUAUUAUAUUCAAGAUGCACUCACUUUACGGGUUCUCGCGAAACGGUAGGAAGUAUCUGUCAAUUUCUGUCGAGCUCGAAGACGGAUAUUAUUAACAGGGAAAUAGAUACAAGAAGUGAUUAAAAACGAGUGGUAUAGAGAGAGGGGGGAGAGAGAGAUAGAGAGAGAGGAGCAAAGAGAGAAGAAAAAAUCUGAAGAUCGCCGAGCGAAAUCCAAAAAAGGGAGAAAGUGAAUUUCUCUCUUUCUCGUGGGUAACACGGAUAAAAAAAGAAAAAAAGAAAGAGAGCGCAUACCGUUUCAUACCGUUCGGAAAAUUCGUCUUCGGUACGAUUUUACAUUUUAUUUUUGUAAUAAAUGCAGUAGAACGUAGAAAAGAUGAUGUGAGAGAGAGUGAAAAAGUAAAAGAAGAAGAAUUGGACGAAGAUGAUUGGCGUUGUACUCGUAAGGAUUAGCAUACAAACGAUGAAGUCAUAUUUGCCGAUCUUCAAAUUUAUCGAUCCUAUACACUAUAUAGAAUCGGAAGGAAGAUUUGAUAUGUGACACGUCGUCUCUGUACCAUCCUGAAUAUUAGAAAAUUAGGUUAAAAGGCCGCGAUCAUUGACUUACAAUGUUCCAUGCGAGCUCGCGAUUUUGUCCAAUAGACGUUUAAAUGAAAGAGAGAGAUUCAUCUGUUUUCAAUUUUGGGGGGAAAGGCACGUGUCUAUUCGAAUUUUUGUGAUAAAUCUGAAAUUAAAGAAAGAAAAAUCAGAAGGAAGAAGAAAAACUAAAAUAGAACAAACUUUUUUCGAUUUCGAACAAAUGAGAUUUUUUCGGGGGAUCUUUCUUUAUCUUCUUCGAUCGAACCUCUCUCACGAGCUCUCGUAAAAAAAAAAAGAAAAACGGGGAGAAAUAAUCGAAAAAAAUACAAAGCAAAAGGGGAGGGGAAAAAACAGAAAAAAUAUGACUCGACAGUAACGACGGCAGCGGCGGCGACAAUGAGAAAAAGUUUGAUAGACGAAAGAAAAGGAGGAAGUGCUAUGAGCCGCAGGCUGGGGUAUAUUAGGUGCUAAAAGUAUUAAAAACAAGCAAACAAAGUAUUUAACUUAUCGUAAAUAUGACAAAAUUGUAAGGAUGCGCGCAUCCGGAGACAGUCGACAGGCCCGGCAACAAUUGGAUAAUAGAAAAAUGAAAAAAAGAUAGAUGGAGAGAGAAAGAGAGAGAGAGAGAGAGAGAGAGAGAGAGAGAUUUUUAGAAACGAGGGAAAAGCGCAACGAAAGAGAAAAUUUAAAACUUCUCGUUUGUGUAUGUUGUGUAUGUCGUACGUACAUACGUAUUAUGCAAAGAAGAAAGGAGGAUAAGAGAAGAAAAAAGAAGAAGAGGAUACAAAAAUAAGUACGAAAAAAUGUAUGUAUAAAUGUAUAUUAUUUACAGAACAUGUUAACGUUUAUAACUCAAAUGCUCGACAGCUCUCUCGCCUUUUCUUCGUUGAUUUUCUUCUAUUUCUAAAAUUGUUUGCCAACGAAAAAAAUAGAAGAAAACAAAAAAAGAAAAAAAAAUAUAGUUCGGCGAUAGUUCGGCGUCGUACCUUUGCAUACUUCCUCUGCGAGCGAAUAAAUUUUACUUGAGAAUCUCAGCCUAUCUCGAUGAUUUCAAAUGUACGCGAAGGGACAUCGUCGUGGGUCAUCGUCGUCGUCGUUGUUGUGUUGUCGUUGAGUCACGGGAAAAGAUAAUCGUAUUUAGAUUGACUUUGAAACGAACGAGGAUCCUAUAAUGAUAUAUCCUCCGCGAUUAGUAUAAAAUAGUCCCUAUAAAAUGUGUAUAUGCACGGGCCACUCGGCAGCCGUCCUCUCCGGAUGCACGGGGCGUGUUGAAAUGGGGGUUUAUAAUAUAUGAUUUUUUAACUACGAAAACCUAUACUAGUAAAAUUAAUAAAAAGGGUAGAAGUGUUAAAUAAAAAGGAAAAGAAACGUAUGAGGAUGAUACAAAGACAAGGAAAGAAAGAAAUAAAUACGAAAAUAAAUGAAGAGAGAAAAAGAGGGAGAAGAAGGAGAGAAAGAGAAGCACGACAGUACCCUGUAGUAAUAUCUAAACUUAAUUAUAACUAUUAACGAUACGUACGACUGUGGUAGCUAUGCUAGUACCUGCUAUUAUUAACAAGAAAAAAGAUGAUGUAGUGGUGUAAGAUGGAUUGAUUGGGAAAGUGAACGAGAGAAAGAGAGAGAGAGAGAGAAAUAGACAAACAGAGAGACACAGAAAGAAUGAAAGAAAAAGAAAAGUACUAAGAAGGCCUUAGAAGCAUCGAGAUAGAAGACAGGGAAAAAAAGAAAAAAGGUAAGAUGCUGCAAACUGAGUCGCCAUAUUCUCUCUAACCGUGGCAAAAAACCAUCUUGCGGCAACC
Vespa mandarinia (Asian giant hornet) is the source of this 4934-nucleotide unclassified non-coding RNA. Lineage: Eukaryota; Metazoa; Arthropoda; Insecta; Hymenoptera; Vespidae. The record is from RefSeq and is a predicted model, not a curated record.